This 99-nucleotide signal recognition particle RNA is filed under the name Treponema sp. RNAcentral describes it as "signal recognition particle sRNA small type". It matches the Rfam family "Bacterial small signal recognition particle RNA". From Rfam's summary of the family: The signal recognition particle (SRP) is a universally conserved ribonucleoprotein involved in the co-translational targeting of proteins to membranes. Archaeal SRP consists of a 7S RNA and homologues of the eukaryotic SRP19 and SRP54 proteins. In most bacteria, the SRP consists of a 4.5S RNA and the Ffh protein (a homologue of the eukaryotic SRP54 protein). Lineage: Bacteria; Pseudomonadati; Spirochaetota; Spirochaetia; Treponematales; Treponemataceae. The record is from RNAcentral.
AGUCAGGAACCAUGCGAGGAGUCGCCGCCCAACCCCGCCAGGUCCGGAAGGAAGCAACGGCAAGCGGAUGUCUUCUGCGCCGUGGCCUCCCUGGCCCGG